CAGCAGCCACGGUAAUACAGAGGGUGCGAGCGUUAAUCGGAUUUACUGGGCGUAAAGCGUGCGUAGGCGGCUAAUUGAGUCGGAUGUGAAAUCCCCGAGCUUAACUUGGGAAUUGCAUUCGAUACUGGUUAGCUAGAGUGUGGGAGAGGAUGGUAGAAUUCCAGGUGUAGCGGUGAAAUGCGUAGAGAUCUGGAGGAAUACCGAUGGCGAAGGCAGCCAUCUGGCCUAACACUGACGCUGAGGUACGAAAGCAUGGGGAGCAAACAGGAUUAGAUACCCCGGUAGUCCCUGUCUCUUAUAC
RNAcentral lists this ribosomal RNA (301 nucleotides) under uncultured bacterium. RNAcentral describes it as "partial 16S ribosomal RNA". It matches the Rfam family "Bacterial small subunit ribosomal RNA", at positions 509 to 807 of the family's 1533-position model. The record is from RNAcentral.